RNAcentral lists this ribosomal RNA (497 nucleotides) under uncultured bacterium. RNAcentral's name for it is "partial 16S ribosomal RNA". It matches the Rfam family "Bacterial small subunit ribosomal RNA", at positions 28 to 507 of the family's 1533-position model. The record is from RNAcentral.
GAUGAACGCUGGCGGCGUGCCUAAUACAUGCAAGUCGAGCGAACAGACGAGGAGCUUGCUCCUUUGACGUUAGCGGCGGACGGGUGAGUAACACGUGGGUAACCUACCUAUAAGACUGGGAUAACUUCGGGAAACCGGAGCUAAUACCGGAUAAUAUUUCGAACCGCAUGGUUCGAUAGUGAAAGAUGGCUUUGCUAUCACUUAUAGAUGGACCUGCGCCGUAUUAGCUAGUUGGUAAGGUAACGGCUUACCAAGGCAACGAUACGUAGCCGACCUGAGAGGGUGAUAGGCCACACUGGAACUGAGACACGGUCCAGACUCCUACGGGAGGCAGCAGUAGGGAAUCUUACGCAAUGGGCGAAAGCCUGACGGAGCAACGCCGAGUGAGUGAUGAAGGUCUUCGGAUCGUAAAACUCUGUUAUUAGGGAAGAACAAACGUGUAAGUAACUGUGCACGUCUUGACGGUACCUAAUCAGAAAGCCACGGCUAACUACGUG